RNAcentral lists this ribosomal RNA (805 nucleotides) under Gudeconcha sophiae sophiae. RNAcentral's name for it is "partial 16S ribosomal RNA". The stretch from base 412 to 601 matches the Rfam family "Archaeal large subunit ribosomal RNA", at positions 1803 to 2100 of the family's 2987-position model. The record is from RNAcentral. Lineage: Eukaryota; Metazoa; Mollusca; Gastropoda; Stylommatophora; Helicarionidae.
AUUUUAUUUAUAAUUUGUUUUAUACCUUUUGCAUAAUGGUUUAAUUAUAUAUUAAUUAAAAUUUAUAUUCCCGAAGUUAGAAGAUCUAAUUUUAUUAUACUAUUUAGAUAUAUUUAUAUAAUGUUACAAAAUUAUAAUAAUAAAUAUAAUUAGGGGUGAAAGGCUUAUCAAUUCUAAAGAUAUCUGGAAUAAUUUUAAAUGUAUUUAGUACAAAAUAAAAUUUGAAUAAUAAAAUGUUAAGAUUUUUUUAUUUAUUAGAAUAUUAAUUUAUUUUAUAUUAUGAAUUAACCUUCUAAUAUUUUAAUAAUUUAAAAUUUUUUAUUAAUUAUAUCUAUUAUGAUAAAAUUAUAUAUUUAUUAAUUUAUAUAAAAAUUAACUAUGUUAAAAUUAGUAUAAUAUUUUUUAUUUUAUUAAGGAACUCGGCUAAUUAUUAUUCAUCUGUUUAUCAAAAACAUAGUCUUAUGAAUUAAUAUAAGGUGCAACCUGCCCAUUGAAUUUAAAUUUUAACGGCCGCAGUACCUUGACUGUGCUAAGGUAGCAUAAUAAAUUGACUCUUAAUUGGGGCCUUGAAUGAAAGGAUCAAUGAAUAAUUUCUGUCUCAUUAUAAUUUAUUAUAAAUUACUUAAAAGGUGAAAAUUCCUUUAAUAUAUAAAAUAGACGAGAAGACCCUAGGAGUUUUCAAUUUUGUUGGGGCGACAAUAUAGCAUAUAACCUAUAAUAUAUUAAUCUAUAUAACGAAUAAUUUUAAUAAUAAAUAAACUACCCUAGGGAUAACAGCAUAAUUUAAUUUUAAGUUUGUGACCUC